UACAGAGGGUGCAAGCGUUGUUCGGAAUUACUGGGCGUAAAGCGCGUGUAGGUGGCGUCGUUAGUCGGAUGUGAAAGCCCUCGGCUCAACCGAGGAAGUGCAUCCGAUACUGCGAUGCUUGAGUGUUGGAGGGGGUGGCGGAAUUCCCGGUGUAGAGGUGAAAUUCGUAGAUAUCGGGAGGAACACCUGUGGCGAAGGCGGCCACCUGGACAACAACUGACGCUGAGACGCGAAAGCGUGGGUAGCAAACAGG
This 253-nucleotide ribosomal RNA is filed under the name uncultured bacterium. RNAcentral's name for it is "partial 16S ribosomal RNA". It matches the Rfam family "Bacterial small subunit ribosomal RNA", at positions 524 to 776 of the family's 1533-position model. The record is from RNAcentral.